Long non-coding RNA from Nerophis ophidion (straightnose pipefish), 703 nucleotides. RefSeq lists it as uncharacterized. The transcript is spliced from 4 exons. The record is from RefSeq and is a predicted model, not a curated record. Lineage: Eukaryota; Metazoa; Chordata; Actinopteri; Syngnathiformes; Syngnathidae.
AUCUUUUGCAAUUUGUUCAAUUAAUAUUGGAGAAGUCAAAGUAGAAUGAUGGAGUUGAGAAGCUUUAGCCUUUAGCCACAAAAACACACGGUGAUUCCUUGUUUAAAAUUCCCGGAGGUGAAACUUUACUAUGAUCACAGCGAACAUGGAUCCCGACGGAAUGUCAACCAGCAGGUUUCGGUGAGAAAAUUGUGGUAAAAAGUCGCUUCUUACCGGAGAUCAGCUGAGCUUGUGCCGCCCAUAAAGCUGCUGUCGACUUUCCUGAGACACUGCGCGUCAAGACACCCGUGGACAAACCCCUCCGACUAUCAGGUCCCUACGCUCCGUCCCGCAUUUUCCAGCACACCUUCAACACAUCCACAGCUGAAUACGGCCUCGGCUGCAGCUUGGGGAGAUGCUCUACAUAAAAAAGACACACUGCUAGUGCUGCAUUUAAUGAAAAAACAGGCAGUUGGAAUCCCAAGUGUCCAGAUGUGAAGCCAGUGGGAAGCAGAUUGUUUAUGCAAACCUUAUUGCAAAGUCAGCCAUGAAGGUGCCCUCUUUUUUGGGUAAUAAGCAGCGGCGGAUAUGGCUUGUUACAGUAGCAACUGCUGCACCGCCGAUGACUUAACGUGUGCAAGAAAUGACUUCACUUACUUGAAACUUGUUAUGUGAAUAAUAAAUGAACCUGGAAGAGUAAUAAUAGUGAGGCAGCCCAGGUAUC